RNAcentral lists this long non-coding RNA (1199 nucleotides) under Rattus norvegicus (Norway rat). Its description in RNAcentral is "long non-coding RNA NONRATT010755". Lineage: Eukaryota; Metazoa; Chordata; Mammalia; Rodentia; Muridae. The record is from RNAcentral.
AAGUAGGAGCCUUUGAGAAAACAGUAAACUAGCUUCCCAAUGCUAAAGGGGUGAUUCUAUAUAUAUUUUUAAUAAUAUUAGAUACGCAAAGUGAAGUACAAAGUCUUUAAAAUAUUGUGUGAGUGUUUGUGUAUGUGUAUGAAAUCACUCUUUAACUCUCUUAACUUUUUUAAAACUCGUGGUGUACCAAUGUUCAGAUUUGCCAAGCUUUCCCUAAGACACGUAGGAUGAAAUGUUUUUGCGUGUUAAUGCAUGUAUUUGUAAAGACUUGUUUACUGCUGAAAAUCACUGACUCUUGUUUCCAUCCCCAAAGUGUUUGUUCCUUUUGCAUACUGGAAGGUUGGAUUGAGCAUAAGCUUUCUGGCUUUCCUUUCACAAAGGCAGUGUCACCAGUGUGGGCAGUGCCAGCAUUGUGGGAAGCUCAGCAGCUUCAAGUCUGCGACCUGACCAAGUGCUCAGAGUGGGAUGUGGGAGCCAUUAACAGAGCAUUGUAAUUCAGAUGGUUAUUUAAGUAACUUCCAUGUCUGAAAUUUAUUUAUGUUAUCAUUUGUAGCACAAAUACAUGAACUGUCUUCAUUUAGUCCAACAAUUAUUUAUUUUUAGAAAGUAAAUUGAAAGACAAGCUGCAUUCAACUUUUAAAAUAGUGUUCUAAUCACAAGAUGUGAUCAUUUAAAUUGUAAGGUCUCUUUUAACUUCCUGGAAAGUAGAUUGUCAAAAGGAAUCAUGUAAAGAUUAUUUUAAAAUUUUAACUGUAUGUAGUUAGAGUGUAAACCCCAGCUCUGUGGUCUCUAAUCAUAUUUUUUGCACAUUCAUUGUUUCUGUUCUGUAGCUUUUCUUGUAUUCCUUUAAGAUAUUUGGCAUUGUAGGGGUAAGGUGUCUUCCAGUGUUUACUAUGUUAAGCUUAAAUUAAAAUUUAAAUUUAUUGUCCAUUUAUAUAAUAUUUGAUACUUUGGUGUAACUUCUCAAUACAGUUACAAUUUUUAUGACAUUUAUAAUUGCAAUCGUAUUUUCUUUUGUAAUAAAAUCCAAAGUCAAUUAAACAAAUUGUAGACCUGGUAUUUCUCAUCUAUAUGAAGUACAAGUCUCUACCUGAGUCUAUAAUGUGAACCAUCCUGCCUUUCACAUUUGUUUCCUAAUUGUUAGAGAAAACUAUUUUUUGUAGAUGUUAUUGAAAGAGCAAUAAAAGUCUACAUAGCAA